AACAAAGAAAAGCAAUAAACACAAAAUUAACCGAAUAAUUAUGAGUUUUUAUUGAAUAAACUAGAACACGUAGUUACGUGGUUCAGAUAGUUCCAAAGAGAUUCAUCAAUAAUUCCUAGUCAUAUGAAAUUAGCUACUCAUAAUUGAAUUAAUAAGCAACAUAAUAAAAAUAAGAAACAAGACCAUACGGCAGAAGCUAUGUGGCUGCUUGUUGAUAACGCGCCGCUCUGUUCCUUCCUUCUAGUGAUGCGUGAUUCUCCUAUUUUCUCCAAGUCUGCGUUCUCC
RNAcentral lists this long non-coding RNA (285 nucleotides) under Trifolium pratense (red clover). RNAcentral describes it as "long non-coding RNA (TPRA_LNC014425)". The record is from RNAcentral. Lineage: Eukaryota; Viridiplantae; Streptophyta; Magnoliopsida; Fabales; Fabaceae.